AACGAACGCUGGCGGCAUGCCUAACACAUGCAAGUCGAACGAGACCUUCGGGUCUAGUGGCGCACGGGUGCGUAACGCGUGGGAAUCUGCCCUUCGGUUGGGAAUAACUGAGAGAAAUUUCAGCUAAUACCUUAUAAUGUCUUCGGACCAAAGAUUUAUCGCCGAGGGAUGAGCCCGCGUAGGAUUAGGUAGUUGGUGGGGUAAUGGCCUACCAAGCCGACGAUCCUUAGCUGGUCUGAGAGGAUGAUCAGCCACACUGGGGCUGAGACACGGCCCAGACUCCUACGGGAGGCAGCAGUGGGGAAUAUUGGACAAUGGGCGAAAGCCUGAUCCAGCAAUGCCGCGUGAGUGAUGAAGGCCUUAGGGUUGUAAAGCUCUUUUACCCGGGAUGAUAAUGACAGUACCGGGAGAAUAAGCUCCGGCUAACUCCGUG
Molecule: ribosomal RNA, 433 nt
Filed under: uncultured bacterium
Lineage: Bacteria
Description: partial 16S ribosomal RNA
Rfam family: Bacterial small subunit ribosomal RNA
Source: RNAcentral